UGACCUCGGAUCAGGUAGGAAUACCCGCUGAACUUAAGCAUAUCAAUAAGCGGAGGAAAAGAAACCAACAGGGAUUGCCCUAGUAACGGCGAGUGAAGCGGCAACAGCUCAAAUUUGAAAUCUGGCUACUUUGUAGUCCGAGUUGUAAUUUGUAGAGGAUGCUUUUGGUGAAGUGCUUUCUGAGUUCCCUGGAACGGGACGCCAGAGAGGGUGAGAGCCCCGUACAGUUAGCAACUGAUCCUUUGUAUAGCUCCUUCGACGAGUCGAGUAGUUUGGGAAUGCUGCUCUAAAUGGGAGGUAUAUCUCUUCUAAAGCUAAAUAUAGGCUAGAGACCGAUAGCGCACAAGUAGAGUGAUCGAAAGAUGAAAAGCACUUUGAAAAGAGAGUUAAACAGCACGUGAAAUUGUUGAAAGGGAAGCGCCUAUGACCAGACUUGUCUCUAUCAGUUUUGGUAGUUUUCGGACUGCUUUACUCUGUUAGUACAGGCCAACAUCAGUUUGUUGUCGGGGAGAAAGGCUUA
RNAcentral lists this ribosomal RNA (520 nucleotides) under Ambrosiella beaveri. RNAcentral describes it as "eukaryotic LSU rRNA". It matches the Rfam family "Eukaryotic large subunit ribosomal RNA", at positions 1 to 529 of the family's 3401-position model. The record is from RNAcentral. Lineage: Eukaryota; Fungi; Ascomycota; Sordariomycetes; Microascales; Ceratocystidaceae.